RNAcentral lists this ribosomal RNA (640 nucleotides) under Escherichia coli. Its description in RNAcentral is "partial 23S ribosomal RNA". It matches the Rfam family "Bacterial large subunit ribosomal RNA", at positions 2252 to 2886 of the family's 2925-position model. The record is from RNAcentral. Lineage: Bacteria; Pseudomonadati; Pseudomonadota; Gammaproteobacteria; Enterobacterales; Enterobacteriaceae.
CAGUGUCUGGUGGGUAGUUUGACUGGGGCGGUCUCCUCCUAAAGAGUAACGGAGGAGCACGAAGGUUGGCUAAUCCUGGUCGGACAUCAGGAGGUUAGUGCAAUGGCAUAAGCCAGCUUGACUGCGAGCGUGACGGCGCGAGCAGGUGCGAAAGCAGGUCAUAGUGAUCCGGUGGUUCUGAAUGGAAGGGCCAUCGCUCAACGGAUAAAAGGUACUCCGGGGAUAACAGGCUGAUACCGCCCAAGAGUUCAUAUCGACGGCGGUGUUUGGCACCUCGAUGUCGGCUCAUCACAUCCUGGGGCUGAAGUAGGUCCCAAGGGUAUGGCUGUUCGCCAUUUAAAGUGGUACGCGAGCUGGGUUUAGAACGUCGUGAGACAGUUCGGUCCCUAUCUGCCGUGGGCGCUGGAGAACUGAGGGGGGCUGCUCCUAGUACGAGAGGACCGGAGUGGACGCAUCACUGGUGUUCGGGUUGUCAUGCCAAUGGCACUGCCCGGUAGCUAAAUGCGGAAGAGAUAAGUGCUGAAAGCAUCUAAGCACGAAACUUGCCCCGAGAUGAGUUCUCCCUGACUCCUUGAGAGUCCUGAAGGAACGUUGAAGACGACGACGUUGAUAGGCCGGGUGUGUAAGCGCAGCGAUGCGU